RNAcentral lists this long non-coding RNA (267 nucleotides) under Carica papaya (papaya). RNAcentral's name for it is "long non-coding RNA (CPAP_LNC004159)". The record is from RNAcentral. Lineage: Eukaryota; Viridiplantae; Streptophyta; Magnoliopsida; Brassicales; Caricaceae.
UUAGUAUUAUAGAGAGCUGCACUUUUCUACUUUGAGAGAUUGUUCUAAGUUAGAGAAUUUCUUCUUCUUCUUCCUGAAAGACUAAAAACUCCAUUAGAGAGGAGAUCAAUCUCAAGAAGAAGACACAAUCUAGAGUUGGAUUUUAUUUUACCAUUUUUUUAGUUAGUUUUUGCUUUCUAGAUUUAAUUAUAGAGUAGAUUUAUUUUUAUUAGAAAAAAUAUGAUCUCUAAACUAUGAGGGGUAUUGAUUUUGAUUAAUGAUAUUUGA